GCAGAGCACUCCGUACGGGAGGCAGCUAGUGGGGAAUAUUGCACAAUGGGCGCAAGCCUGAUGCAGCCAUGCCGCGUGUAUGAAGAAGGCCUUCGGGUUGUAAAGUACUUUCAGCAGUGAGGAAGGUGGAUACUGUUAAUAGCAUAUUCAUUUGACGUUAGCUGCAGAAGAAGCACCCGGCUAACUCCGUGCCAGCAGCCGCGGUAAUACGGAGGGUGCGAGCGUUAAUCGGAAUUACUGGGCGUAAAGCGCAUGCAGGUGGUUUGUUAAGUCAGAUGUGAAAGCCCGGGGCUCAACCUCGGAAUUGCAUUUUGAAACUGGCAAAACUAGAGUACUGUAGAGGGGGGUAGAAUUUCAGGUGUAGCGGUGAAAUGCGUAGAGAUCUGAAGGAAUACCGGUGGCGAAGGCGGCCCCCUGGACAGAUACUGACACUCAGAUGCGAAAGCGUGGGGAGCAAACAGGAUUAGAUACCCUGGUAG
Molecule: ribosomal RNA, 479 nt
Filed under: uncultured bacterium
Lineage: Bacteria
Description: bacterial SSU rRNA
Rfam family: Bacterial small subunit ribosomal RNA
Source: RNAcentral